RNAcentral lists this ribosomal RNA (468 nucleotides) under Triticum aestivum (bread wheat). RNAcentral's name for it is "partial small subunit ribosomal RNA". The record is from RNAcentral. Lineage: Eukaryota; Viridiplantae; Streptophyta; Magnoliopsida; Poales; Poaceae.
AUGCUUGCUGUUUGCAAGUAUCGGAAUCUGAAUGAAAAUGAAAUAGUACACUCGUAUUACUCUUCUCAAAUGCUUGCAAACACUUGGGCUGGGCAAUUUCAUCCAUAUGGUAACCAAAAUGAGUGGCCAACAUAUAAUGGACCUACUAUUGUUCCCGAUGAGAAGUUAGUAAACCGUGGGCGUCAUCAGCACAAAAGGAUCCCGAUGUACAUGGAUGAAAUGCAAGGAAGGCGAAUGGGGCACCAGGCCCGACGUUCCACAAGAGACAAUAAUCAAAUAGGCACAUCAUCUAGUCAAGGACAGAUCUCAUCGUCGAGUCGAGGAAAGAGGUUGAGUCAAGGGAAGAGCACAUCAUCCAUAGGAAAGAGGUCGAGUCAAGGGAAGAGCAUAGCAUCUAAAGGGAGGAGAUCAAAUAAAGAGAAGACCACAUCAUCUAGUCGAAAUUCUGACACUAGGAGUACCAUCUGA